UUAUUACACUCUAGCUUCUCUAGGCCUAUCUUAACUCUUUUUGUUCUUACACUCAUCAUCAAGCAUCCACACAUUCAAAUCAACCAACUCUCACAUUCAUUAAGCACAAAACAUCAGGUGAAUUCUUGCAAAUGGUCAGUUGGUCCAAGUCAUUUGGUUGGGUAAGGGAAGGCUUUUAUUCAAGUGAUUCAAGAGGUUCAAAACAUAUGAUCUUUAAGGUGGUUUACUCUCAAAACAAGUAGCCUUGACAUUGCACAUAAUAUAUCUAAGAAAGGGACCAACUCAUGCAUACAAUGCUCAAUCUCCAUUGUUCUACCCUUUUCCCAAACAUACAAUUACACAAUCAUUCCCAAAUGUCAAACCCAACUCACAUCUCUCACCAAAAGAUCUUAAGAACUUUAACUCUUUCUUUUUGAAAUCUACAAGGGAUUUUUCUACAACCUCAAAAUAUUUCUUAGCUCCUAACAACUUUGCUAGCCCCCUUUUCUUUCUUUUUUUUUUUUUUUUCGAUUUCUUUUUUUUUAUAUAUAUUUUUUUUUUAGGUUGGGGGCCAAGACUUUUCAAAACUAGAGCUAGAGGUUCUCUACUUAUCCCAGAAAAUCAAUUCACUUAAGCACAAAGAGUCUAUCCUUUUUAUUUUUCAUUUCUCCCAAAUCAUGAUCACAACACUCACCCUCCCACCUAUAGCUAGACAAAAGAGUGUCCAAUCUAGCAAAAAUGAAGAUCAAGCAUUGUCGUUCCCGAUACUCUCAACAUUAUGCGCAUGUAAGACUUUCCGAAGAAGGCCUCACUCAUCAAACAAUGAAAGCUUAAAAGGAAGGAAAGGUUUUGGGAGUGGUCUAUCACUAGAGUUUGUCAAAAAGAUUGGCAUAAAAGAUGUGACAACUCCAGUGUGUAUAGCCAUGACUUAGUACACAAGGGACCCUAAGCAAGAAGCAUUAAGUUCAUUCAUUUCUAAUAAAGUUGUAGUUGGCUUCAAAGACUGAGUUUCAGCAAUCAACAAGUUUCAGGAAGAGUUUUCAAGGCUCGAAACAUACAAGUCUUUUUGAGAGGUGCAAAAGCUAGUCAAGUGCAACGUAGUGUUCUUUACAAGGCAUUCAAAUCAUUUCUCCCAAUGCAAAUGAAU
Molecule: long non-coding RNA, 1126 nt
Filed under: Brassica rapa (field mustard)
Lineage: Eukaryota; Viridiplantae; Streptophyta; Magnoliopsida; Brassicales; Brassicaceae
Description: long non-coding RNA (BRAP_LNC002822)
Source: RNAcentral